RNAcentral lists this small nuclear RNA (107 nucleotides) under Myotis brandtii (Brandt's bat). Lineage: Eukaryota; Metazoa; Chordata; Mammalia; Chiroptera; Vespertilionidae. The record is from RNAcentral.
AUGCUCGCCUCGGCAGCACAUAUACUAAAAUUGGAACGAUAAAGAGGAGAUUAGCAUGGCCCCUGCACAAGGUUGACACGCAAAUUCAUGAAGCGUUCUAUAUAAAA